UACGGAAGGCAGCAGUGGGGAAUAUUGCACAAUGGGCGCAAGCCUGAUGCAGCCAUGCCACGUGUAUGAAAAAGGCCUUCGGGUUGUAAAGUACUUUCAGUCGUGAGGAAGGUGUUAAGGUUAAUAACCUUAGCAAUUGACGUUAGCGACAGAAGAAGCACCGGCUAACUCCGUGCCAGCAGCCGCGGUAAUACGGAGGGUGCGAGCGUUAAUCGGAAUUACUGGGCGUAAAGGGCACGCAGGCGGUUAAUUAAGUUGGAUGUGAAAUCCCCGGGCUUAACCUGGGAAUGGCAUUCAAGACUGGUUAGCUAGAGUCUUGUAGAGGGGGUAGAAUUCCAUGUGUAGCGGUGAAAUGCGUAGAGAUGUGGAGGAAUACCGGUGGCGAAGGCGGCCCCUGGACAAAGACUGACGCUCAUGUGCGAAAGCGUGGGGAGCAAACAGGGAUUAGAUACC
This 453-nucleotide ribosomal RNA is filed under the name uncultured bacterium. RNAcentral's name for it is "bacterial SSU rRNA". It matches the Rfam family "Bacterial small subunit ribosomal RNA", at positions 340 to 786 of the family's 1533-position model. The record is from RNAcentral.